RNAcentral lists this unclassified non-coding RNA (331 nucleotides) under soil metagenome. Its description in RNAcentral is "partial contains 5.8S ribosomal RNA, internal transcribed spacer 2, and large subunit ribosomal RNA". The stretch from base 1 to 120 matches the Rfam family "5.8S ribosomal RNA", at positions 35 to 154 of the family's 154-position model. The record is from RNAcentral.
GAUGAAGAACGCAGCGAAAUGCGAUAAGUAAUGUGAAUUGCAGAAUUCAGUGAAUCAUCGAAUCUUUGAACGCACAUUGCGCCCCCUGGUAUUCCGGGGGGCAUGCCUGUUCGAGCGUCAUUUCACCACUCAAGCCUCGCUUGGUAUUGGGCAUCGCGGUCCGCCGCGCGCCUCAAAUCGACCGGCUGGGCCUUCUGUCCCCUAAGCGUUGUGGAAACUAUUCGCUAAAGGGUGUUCGGGAGGCUACGCCGUAAAACAACCCCAUUUCUAAGGUUGACCUCGGAUCAGGUAGGGAUACCCGCUGAACUUAAGCAUAUCAAUAAGCGGAGGA